RNAcentral lists this ribosomal RNA (497 nucleotides) under uncultured bacterium. RNAcentral describes it as "partial 16S ribosomal RNA". It matches the Rfam family "Bacterial small subunit ribosomal RNA", at positions 28 to 507 of the family's 1533-position model. The record is from RNAcentral.
GACGAACGCUGGCGGCGUGCCUAAUACAUGCAAGUUGAGCGAUGAAGACUGGUGCUUGCACCAAUUUGAAGAGCAGCGAACGGGUGAGUAACGCGUGGGGAAUCUGCCUUUGAGCGGGGGACAACAUUUGGAAACGAAUGCUAAUACCGCAUAACAACUUUAAACAUAAGUUUUAAGUUUGAAAGAUGCAAUUGCAUCACUCAAAGAUGAUCCCGCGUUGUAUUAGCUAGUUGGUGAGGUAAAGGCUCACCAAGGCGAUGAUACAUAGCCGACCUGAGAGGGUGAUCGGCCACAUUGGGACUGAGACACGGCCCAAACUCCUACGGGAGGCAGCAGUAGGGAAGCUUCGGCAAUGGACGAAAGUCUGACCGAGCAACGCCGCGUGAGUGAAGAAGGUUGUCGGAUCGUAAAACUCUGUUGGUAGAGAAGAACGUUGGUGAGAGUGGAAAGCUCAUCAAGUGACGGUAACUACCCAGAAAGGGACGGCUAACUACGUG